AUACUUACCUGGCGUAGGGGUUACCGUGAUCAUUAAGGCGGUUCCCCCGAGGCGAGGCCUUUCCAUUGCACAUCGGUUGGGUUGACCCUUGCGAUUAUCUAUCUAGAUUUAUUCUUAAAAUCAUCCACUGCACUGGUAAAAAUAAAAGGUUAAAAUUGAUCCGAAUUUGAUCUUCUU
Molecule: small nuclear RNA, 177 nt
Filed under: Phlebotomus papatasi
Lineage: Eukaryota; Metazoa; Arthropoda; Insecta; Diptera; Psychodidae
Description: U1 spliceosomal RNA
Rfam family: U1 spliceosomal RNA (bases 1-126)
About the family: U1 is a small nuclear RNA (snRNA) component of the spliceosome (involved in pre-mRNA splicing). Its 5' end forms complementary base pairs with the 5' splice junction, thus defining the 5' donor site of an intron. There are significant differences in sequence and secondary structure between metazoan and yeast U1 snRNAs, the latter being much longer (568 nucleotides as compared to 164 nucleotides in human).
Source: RNAcentral